This is a long non-coding RNA of Sphaeramia orbicularis (orbiculate cardinalfish), 2506 nucleotides long. RefSeq lists it as uncharacterized. The record is from RefSeq and is a predicted model, not a curated record. NCBI's taxonomy places the organism in Eukaryota, Metazoa, Chordata, Actinopteri, Kurtiformes, Apogonidae. The transcript is spliced from 3 exons.
UAAGAUAUUUACACCAUGCAGAAACAGAAGCAGCACAAAAAAUGUUCGACACUCCAAAUUUCCAGCAGGUGUCAUUACAAUGAUGAAAAGAAUGUUUCUGCCGUUUUGUGUUCACAUUGUUGGACUCUGAUUCUCAGCUGUUCACGUCCCUGUGGAAAUCUUCCUGUGUUUGGCGUUCCCUUCCUGGCCUUCAGCUCCGUUUGAUGUGGCAUCUGCUAAUUAACCCUAAACACGUCGGUCCUGCACAGAGAUCCAUAGUACGCUAGCUAAUGAUGUUAAAGGGCCGUCUCUGCAGUCAUCCUGAACCUUUCAAGGAUGUGGCCGUAUCUGACCAGUGUUGGCCUUUGGUGCCAGAAAACUGUCAGUAGCCAGCGUCCAGCUUCACCUCGACCUCCUUUGGACUCGGCAUCAGUCCGUCCUGAUGCAGCUGCAGAACCAGGGAUUAUGUUACUUUGAAGACAGAGGGAAAACCGAACCACACGAGGUUCCACAGGUCUCAGGAGUCGGUCUGAGAGUUUUACUCCUCUUCAAGUCCUUUCUGUAAUGAAACAUAGGAAGAGAGUAGACAGAGACAGAUUAGUGACAGAGAAGGUAAGGGACUGAAGCGCUCUAAAAUGUUGUUAAAGUUUGAAGAUGUUGACAAAGACUCUUAAAUAACCAUCAAUAUUCCACUUUUAGAAGCAAAGAAAUCGUCAUUAUAACAUACCUGACCUGUUUUCUAAUCUUUAAUAUGUAAGUAAGUAAGUUUUAUUUAUAGAGCACUUUUCACAGACAGGGGGUCACAAAGUGCUUUACAGUGCAAGAUACAGUUAAAAGCAAUUAAAAAUACAGAAUAAGAUACAGUUUUAAAAUGCAAUUGAAAAUACAAUACACAAUAAGACUAUUUUAUCUGUGCCUCCAUAGGCAACAGUAAUUUUACAUAAUGAAUGUUUACUUUGCUGUCAUUCACAUCUCAAACUACACAAAGAUUCAUGGUUUAAAAAAAUAUAUAUAUUAAGAGUUCAUCAUACAGGAUCAUAACACACACUGACCUUAUUAUAAAAUUCCGUGAAGAAUUAAAGUGGUUGUAUGUAGUAUUGAUGUUCCAAACUCUUACCAGCAGGGGUCAGUCUGGUUCCAGAGCACACUUAGUUCUCCCAAAACCACCAAGGAAUUAAUCUUACGUAUCCACAGGCUGAAACAGUCCCUGAAUACAGUAUAAAGCUAAUUGUUUCCACACAUCUGUAUUAUGGAAUCAACAAGUUUUCCUUUUCAAACUAAAACUCAGACGCUUAUUUUAACAGUUGCUCAAAAAUAACACUUUCUUAUAAUAUUCACAAUAGUUUACAUUAUAGCUCUGUUUUUAGACAGUAAACAUCCACAGUAAAACCACUGGUCACCUCUGUUUUCUGUUCGGUUUGUGUUGUCAGUAGUUGAGCUAAAGAUCUGUUUGAAUCCAACAAACAAGGUCAGAAGUGUCACAGAUUAGUCUGAGCCACAGAUCAACAAAUGGCAAUUUAGCAACGAUGAGAACAUCCCAUAAUAACUUUAUACCUUCAUAAUCCUCAGAAUCAAACUCACCAGUGUAGAAGAUUCACUGACAUUUCAGCAUCAAACUCCAGUCUUUACAUUUACAGCUGAGUCCAGUGGAGAAAACAACAGUGAUUGUAGCUUUUAUCAGUGAGACAAAGUCUAAUCCUUUCUGUUCAUGACUUUAUAACGAGAUUAGUUUUCUUACAAAUCAGCAAAUAUGAUAACUGAAAUAUAAGAUUUAAGACAUAUUGCUUUAGGCUUAGGUUCUCAUUCACCUUAAAGCUAAAACACUUGAAUAAUAAGUCAGAUUGCACCAGUUUUAUAUUUUAGUGUCUGUUGGCUUUGACAGAAAAAUACACACAAAAUUAUAAAAUCAUAUAAAAACUUAAUUUUUGUUUUGGUGCAUCUUAAAUUCAUAAAAUUUAAUGACAAUCUGAAUAACUCUUUCUGUUUAUGUAUUAAUUAUUAUUAUUUACUAUUUUUCUUUUAUUUAUUUUAAUUUUAUUUAUUUAUUAUUGAUCAUAUCAACCAGUCCUUUCUUAAAUCUAUAAAACAUCCAUAAACAGUACAGAAUUUUAACCAGAAUAUUGUGUCACAUCUGUUUUGUGUCAGUUUGUGUUCACAUUUUAUAGUUUACUUUUAAGGCUCUAAACAAUAUUUUAGUUUUAAUCUCAGGUCAAGAAAAUCAUAUAUUAGAAAGUACAUCCUGGUUUUAGUUGAGUUGUUUUCUUGUUUUAUUCUAGUUAUUAUUCUAUAAUAUUAUUUAUUUUAUUCUAUAAUUACUCAGUUAAUUCUUUAACACAUCAUGUUUGUCUCAAUAUCACUGUUUUAUUUGUUUUGCUUUUGAUUUGUUUUCUUUAUUUUAUUAAUUUCACUCUUCACAUCCCUCAAAAUCUCUAAUAUAGACUAACAUGCUAUAAUUUUUUAAUACUUGAAAACAGUUUGAACGGACUAAUAAUAGCACAUUUCCAUUAACCUGCAUCAAACUAAAUCA